GAUGAACGCUGGCGGCGUGCCUAAUACAUGCAAGUCGAGCGAACGGACGAGAAGCUUGCUUCUCUGAUGUUAGCGGCGGACGGGUGAGUAACACGUGGAUCACCAACCUAUAAGACUGGGAUAACUUCGGGAAACCGGAGCUAAUACCGGCUAAUAUUUUGAACCGCAUGGUUCAAAAGUGAAAGACGGCCUUGCUGUCACUUAUAGCUGGAUCCGCGCUGCAUUAGCUAGUUGGUAAGGUAACGGCUUACCAAGGCAACGAUGCAUAGCCGACCUGAGAGGGUGAUCGGCCACACUGGAACUGAGACACGGUCCAGACUCCUACGGGAGGCAGCAGUAGGGAAUCUUCCGCAAUGGGCGAAAGCCUGACGGAGCAACGCCGCGUGAGUGAUGAAGGUCUUCGGAUCGUAAAACUCUGUUAUUAGGGAAGAACAUAUGUGUAAGUAACUGUGCACAUCUUGACGGUACCUAAUCAGAAAGCCACGGCUAACUACGUG
This 497-nucleotide ribosomal RNA is filed under the name uncultured bacterium. Its description in RNAcentral is "partial 16S ribosomal RNA". It matches the Rfam family "Bacterial small subunit ribosomal RNA", at positions 28 to 507 of the family's 1533-position model. The record is from RNAcentral.